Eriocheir sinensis (Chinese mitten crab) is the source of this 776-nucleotide long non-coding RNA. RefSeq lists it as uncharacterized. The record is from RefSeq and is a predicted model, not a curated record. The transcript has 3 exons. NCBI's taxonomy places the organism in Eukaryota, Metazoa, Arthropoda, Malacostraca, Decapoda, Varunidae.
UAUAGUCCCAUGCCUUUCUCUGCCUCUGUGGUGGAUAGUGGAGUGUUUCCCAUGUGGUAUUGGUGUGCUGGAUAUCCCUUCACUGGUAGCCUGGUAACAUAUACUCCCAGCUCUUUCUCUGCCUCUGUGGUGGAUAGUGGAGUGUUUCCCAUGUGGUAUUGGUGUGCUGGAUAUCCCUUCACUGGUAGCCUGGUAACAUACACUCCCAGGUCUUUCUCUGCCUCUGUGGUGGAUAGUGGAGUGUUUCCCAUGUGGUAUUGGUGUGCUGGAUAUCCCUUCACUGGUAGCCUGGCAACAUACACUCCCAGGUCUUUCUCUGCCUCUGUGGUGGAUAGUGGAGUGUUUCCCAUGUGGUAUUGGUGUGCUGGAUAUCCCUUCACUGGUAGCCUGGUAACAUACACUCCCAGGUCUUUCUCUGCCUCUGUGGUGGAUAGUGGAGUGUUUCCCAUGUGGUAUUGGUGUGCUGGAUAUCCCUUCACUGGUAGCCUGGUAACAUACACUCCCAGGUCUUUCUCUGCCUCUGUGGUGGAUAGUGGAGUGUUUCCCAUGUGGUAUUGGUGUGCUGGAUAUCCCUUCACUGGUAGCCUGGUAACAUACACUCCCAGGUCUUUCUCUGCCUCUGUGGUGGAUAGUGGAGUGUUUCCCAUGUGGUAUUGGUGUGCUGGAUAUCCCUUCACUGGUAGCCUGGAAACAUAUACUCCCAGGUCUUUCUCUGCCUCUGUGGUGGAUAGUGGAGUGUUUCCCAUGUGGUAUUGGUGUGCUGGAUAUCCCCUCCC